AAAUUUACUAUGGUUAGCUGCUGGCAUAGGCUUGCAGCGGCCAGCGGGAGCUUCUUCUGUCAUUUUAAAUGCGCGUGGGGCUACCUUGCCGUUUUUUACCACUUCAGCUUUACACUUUUGCCAAUUAUCUUAACAGUGUUACAUUCUUGCCCAUAAUUGUUGAAACAAACAAACAACAUAAUUUUUUUUUUAACCAGAUUAAUCAUUUAUAAAAUUCAGUUGAUCACUGCUAUCUUAAAUUCAAAGUAAUUUAAUAUAAUAGUAAUUAUUUUAGGCCAUAAAAUUGAAUGGGACAAAAGCACAUCAUUUUUAUGCUAUCUUUUUUUCUUCUUUUUUAA
This 338-nucleotide unclassified non-coding RNA is filed under the name Hevea brasiliensis (rubber tree). Lineage: Eukaryota; Viridiplantae; Streptophyta; Magnoliopsida; Malpighiales; Euphorbiaceae. The record is from RNAcentral.